This 464-nucleotide ribosomal RNA is filed under the name uncultured Klebsiella sp. RNAcentral's name for it is "bacterial SSU rRNA". It matches the Rfam family "Bacterial small subunit ribosomal RNA", at positions 339 to 795 of the family's 1533-position model. The record is from RNAcentral. Lineage: Bacteria; Pseudomonadati; Pseudomonadota; Gammaproteobacteria; Enterobacterales; Enterobacteriaceae.
CCUCGGGUGGCAGCAGUGGGGAAUCUUGCACAAUGGGCGCAAGCCUGAUGCAGCCAUGCCGCGUGUGUGAAGAAGGCCUUCGGGUUGUAAAGCACUUUCAGCGGGGAGGAAGGCGGUGAGGUUAAUAACCUCAUCGAUUGACGUUACCCGCAGAAGAAGCACCGGCUAACUCCGUGCCAGCAGCCGCGGUAAUACGGAGGGUGCAAGCGUUAAUCGGAAUUACUGGGCGUAAAGCGCACGCAGGCGGUCUGUCAAGUCGGAUGUGAAAUCCCCGGGCUUAACCUGGGAACUGCAUUCGAAACUGGCAGGCUAGAGUCUUGUAGAGGGGGGUAGAAUUCCAGGUGUAGCGGUGAAAUGCGUAGAGAUCUGGAGGAAUACCGGUGGCGAAGGCGGCCCCCUGGACAAAGACUGACGCUCAGGUGCGAAAGCGUGGGGAGCAAACAGGAUUAGAUACCCUUGUAGUC